This 92-nucleotide transfer RNA is filed under the name Eremothecium cymbalariae DBVPG#7215. It matches the Rfam family "tRNA". From Rfam's summary of the family: Transfer RNA (tRNA) molecules are approximately 80 nucleotides in length. Their secondary structure includes four short double-helical elements and three loops (D, anti-codon, and T loops). Lineage: Eukaryota; Fungi; Ascomycota; Saccharomycetes; Saccharomycetales; Saccharomycetaceae. The record is from Rfam by way of RNAcentral.
UUCCUCGUGGCCCAAUGGUCACGGCGUCUGGCUACGAUUUCUCAGUCACUUCUGAAACCAGAAGAUUCCAGGUUCGAGUCCUGGCGGGGAAG